UACGGGAGGCAGCAGUGGGGAAUCUUGCGCAAUGGGCGAAAGCCUGACGCAGCAACGCCGCGUGCGGGAAGAAGGCCUUAGGGUUGUAAACCGCUUUCAGUAGGAACGAAAAUGACGGUACCUGCAGAAGAAGGUGCGGCCAACUACGUGCCAGCAGCCGCGGUGACACGUAGGCACCAAGCGUUGUCCGGAUUUACUGGGCGUAAAGAGCUCGUAGGCGGUUGAGUAAGUCGGGUGUGAAAACUCUGGGCUUAACCCAGAGCCGCCACCCGAUACUGCUCUGACUUGAGUUCGGUAGGGGAGCAGGGAAUUCCUAGUGUAGCGGUGAAAUGCGCAGAUAUUAGGAGGAACACCGGUGGCGAAGGCGCUGCUCUGGGCCGAUACUGACGCUGAGGAGCGAAAGCGUGGGUAGCAAACAGGAUUAGAUACCCUGGUAGUCCACGCCGUAAACGUUGGGCACUAGGUGUGGGUCUCAACCAACGAGAUCCGCGCCGUCGCUAACGCAUUAAGUGCCCCGCCUGGGGAGUACGGCGGCAACGCUAAAACUCAAAGGAAUUGACGGGGGCCCGCACAAGCAGCGGAGCGUGUUGCUUAAUUCGAUGCAACGCGAAGAACCUUACCUGGGUUUGACAUGCUCGGAAAAGCCGUAGAGAUACGGUGUCCUUCGGGGCCGAGCACAGGUGGUGCAUGGCUGUCGUCAGCUCGUGUCGUGAGAUGUUGGGUUAGGUCCCGCAACGAGCGCAACCCUUAUUCUAUGUUGCCAGCACGUAAUGGUGGGGACUCGUAGGAG
This 790-nucleotide ribosomal RNA is filed under the name uncultured Actinomycetes bacterium. RNAcentral's name for it is "bacterial SSU rRNA". It matches the Rfam family "Bacterial small subunit ribosomal RNA", at positions 340 to 1147 of the family's 1533-position model. The record is from RNAcentral. Lineage: Bacteria; Bacillati; Actinomycetota; Actinomycetes.